This 497-nucleotide ribosomal RNA is filed under the name uncultured bacterium. Its description in RNAcentral is "partial 16S ribosomal RNA". It matches the Rfam family "Bacterial small subunit ribosomal RNA", at positions 28 to 507 of the family's 1533-position model. The record is from RNAcentral.
GAUGAACGCUGGCGGCGUGCCUAAUACAUGCAAGUCGAGCGAACAGACGAGGAGCUUGCUCCUCUGACGUUAGCGGCGGACGGGUGAGUAACACGUGGAUAACCUACCUAUAAGACUGGGAUAACUUCGGGAAACCGGAGCUAAUACCGGAUAAUAUAUUGAACCGCAUGGUUCAAUAGUGAAAGACGGUUUUGCUGUCACUUAUAGAUGGAUCCGCGCUGCAUUAGCUAGUUGGUAAGGUAACGGCUUACCAAGGCAACGAUGCGUAGCCGACCUGAGAGGGUGAUCGGCCACACUGGAACUGAGACACGGUCCAGACUCCGACGGGAGGCAGCAGUAGGGAAUCGUCCGCAAUGGGCGAAAGCCUGACGGAGCACAGCCGCGUGAGUGAUGAAGGUCUUCGGAUCGUAAAACUCUGUUAUUAGGGAAGAACAAAUGUGUAAGUAACUAUGCACGUCUUGACGGUACCUAAUCAGAAAGCCACGGCUAACCACGUG